RNAcentral lists this transfer RNA (71 nucleotides) under Camelus bactrianus (Bactrian camel). It matches the Rfam family "tRNA". Rfam says of the family: Transfer RNA (tRNA) molecules are approximately 80 nucleotides in length. Their secondary structure includes four short double-helical elements and three loops (D, anti-codon, and T loops). Further hydrogen bonds mediate the characteristic L-shaped molecular structure. tRNAs have two regions of fundamental functional importance: the anti-codon, which is responsible for specific mRNA codon recognition, and the 3' end, to which the tRNAs corresponding amino acid is attached (by aminoacyl-tRNA synthetases). tRNAs cope with the degeneracy of the genetic code in two manners: having more than one tRNA (with a specific anti-codon) for a particular amino acid; and 'wobble' base-pairing, i.e. permitting non-standard base-pairing at the 3rd anti-codon position. RNAcentral also lists the same sequence under 2 other names. The record is from Rfam by way of RNAcentral. Lineage: Eukaryota; Metazoa; Chordata; Mammalia; Artiodactyla; Camelidae.
GAGGGUAUAGCUCAGUGGUAGAGCGCAGGCUUGGCAUGCAUGAGGUCCUGGGUCAACCCCCGGGACCUCCA